AAGCGUUUUCUUGGGCUCGCGGCCGGUAGAAGUUCUUUGGAACAGGACAUCAUAGAGGGUGACAAUCCCGUCCGUGACCGGUCGUGCGUUCAUCUACGAUACGCUUUCAAAGAGUCGAGUUGUUUGGGAUUGCAGCUCCAAAUGGGUGGUAAACAUCACCUAAGGCUAAAUAUUGGCGAGAGACCGAUAGCGAACAAGUACCGUGAGGGAAAGAUGAAAAGAACUUUGAAAAGAGAGUUAAACAGUACGUGAAAUUGUUGAAAGGGAAACGAUUGAAGUCAGUCGUGCUGGCGCGAAAUCAACCACCUCGUCUUGAGGUCACAUGGCGCGGCGAGCCUCAAAACCGUCACGAAGCGUGAACUCUUGACGAGAAGGUGCACUUUCGUGUCCGCUGGUUAACAUCAAUUUCGACCGUCAUAAAAAGGCUGGAGGGAUGUGGCUCCUUCGGGAGUGUUAUAACCUUUAGCGGAAUGUGGUGUUCGGGAUUGAGGAUUGCAACGAAUACCUUCAGGGCUGUUCCACCUGGCUUCUCAUUGGUAUCCUGGUGACGACAGCUUGC
This 559-nucleotide ribosomal RNA is filed under the name uncultured Glomus. RNAcentral's name for it is "eukaryotic LSU rRNA". It matches the Rfam family "Eukaryotic large subunit ribosomal RNA", at positions 156 to 637 of the family's 3401-position model. Lineage: Eukaryota; Fungi; Glomeromycota; Glomeromycetes; Glomerales; Glomeraceae. The record is from RNAcentral.